RNAcentral lists this ribosomal RNA (534 nucleotides) under Paenibacillus sp. HC28. RNAcentral describes it as "bacterial SSU rRNA". It matches the Rfam family "Bacterial small subunit ribosomal RNA", at positions 800 to 1331 of the family's 1533-position model. The record is from RNAcentral. Lineage: Bacteria; Bacillati; Bacillota; Bacilli; Caryophanales; Paenibacillaceae.
CCGUAAACGAUGAGUGCUAGGUGUUAGGGGUUUCGAUACCCUUGGUGCCGAAGUUAACACAUUAAGCACUCCGCCUGGGGAGUACGGUCGCAAGACUGAAACUCAAAGGAAUUGACGGGGACCCGCACAAGCAGUGGAGUAUGUGGUUUAAUUCGAAGCAACGCGAAGAACCUUACCAGGUCUUGACAUCCCUCUGAUCGAUGCAGAGAUGUAUCUUUCCUUCGGGACAGUGGAGACAGGUGGUGCAUGGUUGUCGUCAGCUCGUGUCGUGAGAUGUUGGGUUAAGUCCCGCAACGAGCGCAACCCUUAUACUUUAGUUGCCAGCACUUCGGGUGGGCACUCUAGAUAGACUGCCGGUGACAAACCGGAGGAAGGUGGGGAUGACGUCAAAUCAUCAUGCCCCUUAUGACCUGGGCUACACACGUACUACAAUGGCCGGUACAACGGGCUGCGAAAUCGCGAGAUGGAGCCAAUCCCAACAAAGCCGGUCUCAGUUCGGAUUGCAGGCUGCAACUCGCCUGCAUGAAGUCGGAA